Molecule: long non-coding RNA, 1724 nt
Organism: Diorhabda sublineata
Lineage: Eukaryota; Metazoa; Arthropoda; Insecta; Coleoptera; Chrysomelidae
Exons: 3
Source: RefSeq, a predicted model, not a curated record
AUGGAACAAAGGAAUGUGAAUAUUAUUGUUAUUUAUAGAGAUUCAGUUAUUCAUGGUGAAGAAACGUAUUUUACUCAAGUGGAACAAUUAUCUUCGUUUAAUGAAAUCGAUACGAUAGCUACGAUUCAAAUAUAAUUUAAUUUGAAUUAUAAUCGAAUUCUUUAUAUUCAAUAUCAAGAAGUUGUCUUUAAUUUCCAUGGGCUAUAUACAUAAUGUUUUUUUCAAUUUUUGCAACUAAGUUCAAAUUUAUAUGCCACCAGUUUGACGUAGAAAUUAGAAAAUGCGAAUUUUUCCUUGUUCGUAUAAUAAAAAGAAUUGAAAAAUGCCAUAAGAGCAAACCAGAAAUUGGAAGAAAUCAACGGAGCCCCAAGAAAAGAAAUUGUAAUGAUAAAUACCGAGAAAAGGGGAUUACAAUCCAUUAUAUAUGCUAUUAAAGAGCAGGUAACUCAUUUCAAAAAUAAAUCUAAGGAAGUUGAUGUGUUGUUAAAUGAAAUUCUCAAAUUGAGGAAUAAGGUAACAGACUUUGAAAAUAUAUAGGUGGUUAUAAACGGAUGUAUAGAUCAAGUAAAUGAUAUUUUGAGGGAAGAACACAAUAUUGAGUCUUUGGCCUUGUUAACUGAAAGAAAAGCCAAACAUCUAGAUUACAGCUUGUUGAGUGUCAGAAUGCGGACAUGAGAGACGAAAUUUCAAGCUCCAAUGAACAUCAUCCAGUUGAUCUACCAAUCCGUCAUCAAGUAAAAACUAUUCAAUAUUUAAAUUGAAUAAAAAUAUUACGGUCGAUAAGCAGAAAGUGUCUACUUCUGAGAAAGCUCACAACGGUUCUGGGGUAUGUCACGGAGGAUAUCCAGACUCCCAAGGGAAAAACAAAAAAUAGUGAAGAGGAUGAAUAAAUUUUCGUUAUCGACUGCUAAAUUUAAAAAGUUCGUCCAGCAGAUCUAAUAAUGCAUAAUCAAGUAAAAAUAUAAGAAUUUUCACUGUUCUUAUUUAAUUAUAAAUUAAAGUGAAGUUCACGAUUCCUUCUCGAAUCCAAAUAAACACCAAAUAUUUCUGUCUUAUAAAAGUUUUAUUAAAAGUUACUUUCUCAAAGUAACAGUUGACAAGACCAAAGUUGUGUUCUACCCUCAAAAUAUCAUUUACUUGAUCUCUAGAUCCGUUUAUAACUAUAUUCUCAAUGUCUGUUAUCUUAUUCCUCAAUUUGAGAAUUUCAUUAAACAACACAUCAACUUCCUUAGAUUUAUUUUUGAAAUGAGUUACCUGCUCUUUAAUACCAUAUAUAAUGGAUUGUAAUCCCAUUUUCUCGGUAUUUAUCAUUACAAUUUCUUUUCUUGAGGCUCCGUUAAUUUCUUCCAAUUUCUGGUUUGCUCUUAUCGCAUUUUUCAAUUUUUUUUCUCAUACAAACAAAGAAAAAUUCGCAUUUUCUAAUUUGUACGUUAAACUGGUGGCAUCUAAAUUUGAACUUUUGUUGCGAAAAUUGAAAACACUUUUGGUGUAAAAAAAUAAAAAACUCGAUUAGAAUUCAAAUUAAAUUGUAACAUUCCUAUUGAAUUGAAUAAUAUUGAUAAUGGAAAAUGUGUUUGCAUUGUGUAAAAUAAAUUUUUUCGCCGUGAAUAAAUAAAUCUUUACAAAUAAUUGAAGUAAUAUUCAUACCGCCCUUUUAAAGUGCAAGUACCUUGUCGCAGUUUUAGGGCUUGAGCUCUCAGAGAUUCUCUCUGUGAGGGACUAAA